Molecule: long non-coding RNA, 240 nt
Organism: Pseudophryne corroboree (corroboree frog)
Lineage: Eukaryota; Metazoa; Chordata; Amphibia; Anura; Myobatrachidae
Exons: 3
Source: RefSeq, a predicted model, not a curated record
CAAGUACAGCUAUCUGUUUCCUUUAUAUUAAAGAGACCUACCCUAGACGAUCAAGCGAAGCAUACUUCGAGAAUAUGCAGUUGAUACUGAACUUUUAGAGAGAGAGCAAGUUGAACGCUGUUUUUCCCUUCCAGGACCAGAAACGACUCAAUUCAACAGGGCGCACUUGGUGACGUCAUAUGGGAUCGCCUGUAUAGCGGAAAUGAAGCCGGAGGCGCGGACUCUGACGGUGAGGGGGAG